This 318-nucleotide ribosomal RNA is filed under the name Triticum aestivum (bread wheat). RNAcentral's name for it is "partial small subunit ribosomal RNA". The record is from RNAcentral. Lineage: Eukaryota; Viridiplantae; Streptophyta; Magnoliopsida; Poales; Poaceae.
AUGAAGACAAUGCAGCAGGGUUGGUUAUCUAAUUGGCUAGUCAAACAUGAGGUGGUUCAUAGAUCUUUGGGCUUUGAUCACCGAGGAAUAGAGACUUUACAAAUAAAAGCAGGGGAUUGGGAUUCCAUUGCUGUCAUUUUAUAUGUAUAUGGUUACAAUUAUUUACGCUCCCAAUGUGCUUAUGAUGUAGCACCCGGUGGAUCUUUAGCUAGCGUGUAUCAUCUUACGAGAAUACAAUAUGGUAUAGAUAAUCCAGAAGAAGUCUGCAUAAAAGUCUUUGCCCAAAAGGAUAAUCCUAGAAUUCCGUCUGUCUUCUAG